RNAcentral lists this ribosomal RNA (361 nucleotides) under Ectobiidae sp. 4 FL-2016. RNAcentral describes it as "12S ribosomal RNA". The record is from RNAcentral. Lineage: Eukaryota; Metazoa; Arthropoda; Insecta; Blattodea; Ectobiidae.
UUUUGAUUUAAAUAUAAGAACUUGAGUAGUAAUAGUUUGGGUCUUGAAACUCAAAGAAUUUGGCGGUAUUAUAGUCUGUUCAGAGGAAUCUGUCCCGUAAUCGAUAAUCCGCGUUGGACCUUUCUUGUUUUAUUUGUUUGUAUACCGCCGUUAAUUUUGAAGAUCUUGGGAGAGUAAUAAUUUUUUUAAUAUUUUGUUUAGUAAAUUUUCAGGUCAAGGUGCAGUUUAUAGACAAGUGGAGAUGGAUUACAUUAAUAUUUAAUUAAUGAUUGGAUUAUUAAUUGGAAUAUUAUUAAUAUGAAAUUGGAUUUGAUAGUAAUUUUAUAAAGAUUAAUAUUGUGAAUAUGGCUCUAUAGUAUGU